RNAcentral lists this ribosomal RNA (468 nucleotides) under uncultured bacterium. RNAcentral's name for it is "partial 16S ribosomal RNA". It matches the Rfam family "Bacterial small subunit ribosomal RNA", at positions 28 to 507 of the family's 1533-position model. The record is from RNAcentral.
GACGAACGCUGGCGGCGUGCUUAACACAUGCAAGUCGAACGGAAAGGCCCUGCUUUUGUGGGGUGCUCGAGUGGCGAACGGGUGAGUAACACGUGAGUAACCUGCCCUUGACUUUGGGAUAACUUCAGGAAACUGGGGCUAAUACCGGAUAGGAGCUCCUGCUGCAUGGUGGGGGUUGGAAAGUUUCGGCGGUUGGGGAUGGACUCGCGGCUUAUCAGCUUGUUGGUGGGGUAGUGGCUUACCAAGGCUUUGACGGGUAGCCGGCCUGAGAGGGUGACCGGCGGCAGUGGGACUGAGAGACGGCCCAGACGGAGACGGGAGGCAGAAGGGGGGAAGAUGGCAGAAGGGGCGGGGGUAUGAAGCAGCAACGGCGCGUGAGGGAGGACGGGCGUCGGGUUGUAAACCGAUUUCGCCGGUGACGGAGCGUGAGUGACGGUAAGGGGUAAAGAAGCAACGGCUAACGACGUG